Trifolium pratense (red clover) is the source of this 5791-nucleotide long non-coding RNA. RefSeq lists it as uncharacterized. The transcript has 6 exons. Lineage: Eukaryota; Viridiplantae; Streptophyta; Magnoliopsida; Fabales; Fabaceae. The record is from RefSeq and is a predicted model, not a curated record.
GAACACUGAUUCCUUAUGGUUCUGGUUCUGGUUCUAUCUUUCUUUUGUUUGAUCUUCAUGUUUUGUAUUCUUAUUCUUUUAUGGUCUUUUGAUUUGGUUCUGGCUUAGACCGCCGUACAUGUGAAUUGAAAUAUGACACACUGUUUUCUGCAGUGUAGUGUGUUUUGAAACAAUAACAUUCUGAGUAGCAUCAAGCCUCAGGUUUAUUUUGCUACCAUGUACUUGGGUUGUGAACUAUUUUUAUUUUCAUUUCUAUUCUUAUUGUCUAGUCGAUUUACUUCUUUGUUCUAUGUUUGGUUUUUUUAUCUGAAUUCUGACAGUGCAAAAGUUUACAUGACUCUUUAGGAGUUGAGACAACUUGGUGGUCCUCUCUUUGUAAUGUUGAUCUGCGACUUGGUUUGAAGAAUUAUGCAACUAUUCUUUCUUUCUUCUUGUUUAUUACUUUACAACCUAUUUUUCACAGCGUAAUCAUGCUUUCUGUAAAUGUAUCAUGUGUUUUGAAAAAAUAACAAAAACGAUGUUUUCUGGCUUUGAUACAUGAACCUGACUGAUUCUGAUGAUUUAUUUGUUAGGGAUAACUUAACUUUGUCGGGGGAGGUUUCUAUAUCUUCUUUAUUGUUUUGUUGUUUUUAUUUUGAUUUGUGAUUUAUGAUGAUGAUGAUACACCUAUUAAGUUACCCUCUUCAUUACAGUGGCCAAAGGACUCCUCUGUAUUAGGUGGAAGCCAAAAUUGUAUUAUUUAAUAUGGCACAUGAUCUUGCAAAUUGGAUGGAAAUAUGUGUACUCUUUUUUAUAUAAUUGAUCAUUCAAUAAAUUUGCUAUCGCUCGAACCUGUUCCUAAGUCAGUUUAGGAUUUGGUUGGUGUUCCGACAUCCCGAAUCGAGGUGGGCUCUAAACUCAGGUUUACCUACCUCUCUAGUUAAAGAGAGAAGAUAGGGCUUCAAAAUCAAAUUCCCUCUCCUAAGUGCUUGCUGGUUCCGGACUCCCAAUCUUGGUUGGCUGUCAUUUCCAGAGGAGUUGGACUGCUUUCCACUGAUAGUAUCCAACAAGGUCGCCAUUGACCAGUACAGCAACUGAAAGUCAGGGUAUUGUACCCUAAAAGGCAGAGUUGGAAUACUUAAUUGGUUCAAAUCCAAUAGUAGUUAAAAUAAAAUGAAUAUCUGUUAUUCGUUGAUCCAAUUUUGCAGUGAGCUUAUUUCUGAUUUUUUAUAUCUGGAACAGUUUGCAAUUCUCGAUGAUAAUGGCUACAGAUACAUAGAUCAAAUUUCUUUGAUGAGUAAUUCUUUAUUAUUUUUACUUUUGAGCUUUGAAUGUAAGACAACAAUUGAAUUUUGUGUACCUGUUCUUAUGCAGUGUGGUUUUCUCAAAAUAAUGAUGUUCUUUCUUCAUAGCAUGGAGCCUCAGUGCAACGUAUUUUGGAACAAUAAUAUUUGAGUAGUAUCAAGCCUCAGGUUUAUGUUGGAACCUCUACUUGUAAUGUGAAAUAUUUUCAUUUCGUUUUUUAUCUACUGAUUCUUAUUGUCUAGUCUUCUGGAUUUUCUCCUUUAUGAUUUACCAUUAAUACUUAUUUUUUCUUUUGAAUGUUCACAUACUUCCCGUUCAGCCUAUAAUGUGUAGCUUUCUGGGAUCCUGUGGCAGGAAGAGGUUCACAUACUUUCUGCUCAGCCUUGGGAUAGUGUUGGAGCAUGAGUGUGAAGCAUUUAAGAUUCCAGAGUAAAUCUCUUUGCCAUCCCUAAGGAUGAGGAAUUAUUGACAAGCUUGGUUUGGCACUUUUUUGUCCUGUUGAUUUGCCACUUCCUUUGUUAUAAUUUAUUGUUCAUAUCAAAUUUUAACUGCCAUGCUUAAUGUUGCUUCCUUUUGUUUUAAAUAAGUUAAUGAUGGUUCCAUGUGAUAUAUAUAUAUAUAUAUAUUGUAAUUACCUCAUUGGAGUCAAUCAAGUUAGCAAUCCUUGCAAGCUCCUCAAUGAUCCGCUGGUUUACUCCAAUCCGUGGUCCAAUAUGAUUUUAUAUCCUACUAUAUACAAAUGGAUUUGGUAGAUAGGUAAACAGAGAGAGUGAUUGAUUGUAAAAUUGAUAUAUUAUACAAAAGGGUUAUAGUGUUCUUCAUCCUCUUGAACUACUCAAGACAACACUAAAUCUUUAUGUUUUCCAUUUUUCGCUUUUAUUUUCCAAUUUUUUCCUUGAGGAAAUUUUCAACGACACUUUAGACAUAUGAUGAGACAUGUCAUUUAUUUCUUAAUGAAUGCAACGAAAUGUACUAAGUGAAUGCAACGAAAUGUACUUUGGUCUCCUAAUUGGUCAUGUUUUUUUAUAUGUUUAUGUAUUUGUUUUCGAAGAAUUGUUCUUAGCUUGUGGACAGGCUGGUGUUGAAGUUUGUGUUUCUUCUGGUGUUGGAGUUUGUGUGUUUCAGUAUCCGGAACCUGCUCUUCCCAAGAUGAAGAAUUUUGGACGACUUGGUUACAUCGCAGGUGUUGUUUGUUCGUUAGGAGAGGUUUUCUAUAAUCUUCUUUUACUUUACUGGUUUCUUUUGUUAUUUGUGAUUUGGAUGAUGUUGACGGUGAUACUCCUAAGAAGAUAUCCUUUUCAUUACAGUGGCCCGGGACUCCUGUGUUAGGAGGAAGCCAAAAUUGUGUCACACAUAAUCUGCAGGCUUUAAUUUGGUUAUCUCUUCUAAGACACCUAAUAAGAUACCCUCUUCAUUAGAGUGGCCAAAGGACUCCUCUGUAUUAGGUGGAAGCCAAAAUUGUAUUAUUUAAUAGGGCUACAUGAUCUUGAAAAUUGGAUGGAAAUUUGGUCAACUCUUCUAAGAAUCUUUACAUUUAAAUCUUUUUUUGAUACUCAUCAUAUACUUUUGUCGAUUCCUGAGUUUUCUUUUUGGGUGUUGCAGGGGAGAGAGUCUAUAAAUAUGUGCUUCACUGUGGAACCCAUGGCAGACAGAGGUUCACUGUUUCUUUUUUUACUUGUUACUUUUGUCUCCUGAUGUUGAGGUUUGAUUUGGUUCAUAUUUUAAUGUUCUGCGCCUACUAUGAAUUGUUUGGGUUUUAAUUAAUAGCUCUUCCAAUUCUCGUUUGAUUAUAUGUGUACUCUUUAACAUUCUAGAGUAAAUCUCUUUGCCAUCCCCAAGGAUGAGGAAUUCUUGACAAGCUUGGUUUGACUCUUCUUUUACUCAUCAAGAUUUUGUUUUGUAUAAUUUUUUGAUAUAACACUUUGUUUGAUAAUCGAGAGAUGCAUUUAUCUGUUUUGCAGAGGGCUAAAAAGUUUCGAUGUCCAGAAUGACUUGAUAAAAUGGACAAGGGCGGAGAAUGAUUCAAUAUAGAUAAAUUAAAUUUCUUUAAUAUGAUUCGUUCUUUACUAUUUUUAUUUAUGUUUUGGCUUUGAUUUUAAGAAGUGCAAAUUGAAUUUUGAACAUGUUUGUCUAGUUGGAUUUUGUGAUCUCUAUUAAAUUCUUUCCGUUUUAAAAAAUUCUUCUAUUCUAUAUUCCUCUUGUUUGAUCUUCGCGUUCUGUAUUCUUAUUCUUUUCUGGUUGAUAAUUUGGUAUUUUGGUUGUGGUUGGAUUCGUUCUUGGAGUUUGCUGGUUUUAUUUUAAUGAUUUGAUAUUAUUAUCGAGUUCAGUAUGGUUUUAAUUGAAUUGUUCUUCUAAUUCCACUUAUGCUUCAGAUAUUAUUCUUCGUACAGAUGGGUGUUACCCCAUGACACUGAAAUCAUGUGUAGGUGAUGACUUCUUCACGUUCCUACAUCAAAGAAAUUUUACCCCAUCCCCUACACAUGAUUCACACAUGAUUCACACUGAAAUCUUUCAACAUUCGUGUCUACCUAAAUCUUCUUUUAUCAUGUCUACAUAACCUUGUUAGACAGAUGAAAUUUAAGUGAUAGGAACAUGAAAGCUAAAGGAGAAACUGGGGGGUAAUUUACAAAAAAAUCUCUUUCUUUUGAUAAUAUUUUCGGAUCUUUGUAACAUGCAGAAGAGUAAGCAUCGUCAAUACCGAGAGAAAGUUCACUAUCUUCAAGGUAAGCAUCGUCAAUACCGAGAGAAAGUUCCUGAAUCUCUGAAGCUUCAGAGAAAGCGUAAGAACAACGAUGAAGCUACAGAAACUGUUGUAGUCGAUAAUGCGGAAGCUAGAGCACCGAGGGAGCUGAAUAUGGAGCUGAGGAAGAACAAGUAGAAGAAGGUGAAGCUCGCAGAGAGUUCGGAAUCGGUUACGGUAACCGAUUCAGCUUCGGGUUCUGGUUCUGUUCCGGUUAGGAAGAAGGCAAUUAAGCAAUGUGAUUCGCAAUUGGAUCUUAUAAGAAUGGUUUUGGAAAGAGAAGUUGAGAAGAGAAAAAAGAACAAUAAUGAGAAUAAGAAAAAGAAGAAGAAGAAAAUAGAGAUGAAACUAGAAGAAGUUGAAUUCAAUGAAGGAGAAUUAAGGAGAGAGUUACCAAAUGGUGUUAUGGAAAUAUCACCAGCUUCAACACCUCUUGAUUAUAACAAUGUGAGCUCUCAUUGUGAUGUGAAAGUUGGUGUUGAUCAUAAUAGGGUUGUAGCUGUAACGCCACGAAACUUCAGGUCCAAGAAUGUUGAUAGGGUUGCUCUUGGAAAGUUGCAAGUUGUGCCUUAUGGACCAAGCUUGAAGAAAGUAAAUACUGAGAGGAUGUGUCACUUGUACCAGAGAAGUGAAUCGGUGAAUCUCGUCCAGUGUUCUAGCUGUAACAAGGAGUUUUUCUGCUUUGAUUGCAUUAGAGAGCGCUAUGACAUUCCUGACACUUCGGAUAAAAGUUCAAGCUGCUCGCUGUGUUUUGACACCGACGAUAUAACCAGUUGCAGAAAGCACGUGAGAGAGAAGAUCCAUCAGAUAAUUGCUUGCUCUGUCCCAUAGUUUUGGACUUCAAUGGUAGUAACUUUGAGCACUUUCAGAAACACUGGGGAAAGGGCCAUCCUAUAGUGGUCCAAGAUGUGCUCCAGAGUACAUCAAACCUCAGUGGGAAUCCACUGUUCAUGUUCUGUUAUUAUCUCGAGCAGAGUAUUACAAAGUACGAGAAUAAUAAAGAGUUACUUAUAUCCUGUUUGGAUUGGUGUGAGGUGGAAAUAAACAUUAGGCAGUAUUUUACUGGAUCCCUCAAAUGUCGUCCUCAGAGAAACACUUGGGCAUGAGAUGCUGAAACUGAAGGGAUGGCUGUCUUCCCAAGUAUUCAAAGAGGAGUUUCCAGCCCAUUUUUCUGAAGUAAUUGAUGCUCUACCAGUUCAAGAAUACAUGAAUCCCAUGUCUGGUCCUCUGAAUUUAGCUGCAAAGUUGCAACACGGGAGUGUGAAACAUGACAUUGGGCCAUAUGUCUAUAUUUCGUAUGGUUGUGCUGACAUAGAAGCUGAUUCUGUGAAAAACUCUGCUGCGACUCAUAUGAUGUGGGUUACAUGGAUUUGGUUUAUUUCACAAGUGUCCUUUCUCAAAUCUGCAACAUGUUAAUUUUUAUGUCCGAAGUGAAGAAAUUGGAGAUGAGUACCUCUGCGAUACAUUUUUCUGUCUGUGUUAUAUAUUUUCAACUAUUGCUAUUUGACAAUCUGAACUUAGAUUUGAACAUUUCUGCAUUCAUGCUUCUCAAAUCUUCUCUGAAAGCUUGGCAAGAUUAUCAUUACUCAUUAUUGGAAUAUAAUUGGUCUUUUUUUUAAUGGCUACAGAUUCAUAGAUAAAAUUUCUUCAUUGUGCCGUUCUUUAUUUUAGUUUUGAUCGCAAGACACAAAUUGAAUUGUGAACCUGUUUUUUGCAGUGUGGUUCGUCAACGUAAUGAUCUUCUUUCAUCAUAGCAUGGAGCCUCAA